Ictidomys tridecemlineatus (thirteen-lined ground squirrel) is the source of this 10435-nucleotide RNA transcript. It is a transcript of the gene named transcriptional activator protein Pur-alpha, with no coding region annotated. NCBI's taxonomy places the organism in Eukaryota, Metazoa, Chordata, Mammalia, Rodentia, Sciuridae. The record is from RefSeq and is a predicted model, not a curated record.
UUUACACAUGAUCAGACCUAUAAUGUGCAAUGAACAUUUUUCUGAGAACAGAAUCCAUAGUUUUCAUCAAAACUCUCAAGGGAAGCCACAUCUCACAGAAGUUCAAAAUCACUGGUUGCACUCCGAAAACAGAGAUAGAACCCUCCUCCUGGGGGGUCUCUGUGAGUCCUCAUCCUUCAGCCUGGCUGAUUGGCAAGACUAUUAGUAAAAAGGGCCUGGAAGCAGGGUUGCUUGGGCAUCAAGGAAGGAGAGCUACUCUCCUCAUUGGCUGGCUGAAGUCUCCUGUAUCCAUGUGGAAAGUUAGGGGUUGUAAGCUAACUGUCUCCUAGUUUUCUGAAAAAUAGGAGUUAAACGAUUAGAAAGCUCUCUAAACUGCUAUAUUUUGUGCCAGAUGAGUGGACUACUCUGGUAUCACCUCAGAGGUGAGAGGCAGGUUUGCUAGGUGUGUGGUGAUGGGGGGUAGGGGUGCAGAGCUCUCUUCAUGCUGCCCUCACUUGAAUACAUGGUGCAUAGUUGGUACUCAGCCACUGUUAUAUUUUGAUAUUAAGGAGUUGUUUCCUUCUGUAGACAUUGAAUCUAUGCUCCUUGGUCCAUUUUGUAAAAUUUCCCAAAGGCCAGUGGCCUCUGGAGCCUUGGCCAUAUCCCCAACUGCACUUAUUUACUCCUUACUCUUUACCCUCAAAAUCCUGAAACAUCUCGGAAAGGCAAAUUAGGGCCUGUGGGAUUCUCUGAUGCUUCUUGGAAUAUAAUUCCAUCAUUAAGGCUGAGCGCCAAUUCUGGCCAGUCGUGGUGCUGUCUCCUGCUUUUUCGGUGCACUUUGUCUUUGUUGCUCCUCUUGUUCGUGUUAGAAAAUGGCAUCUACCUUCCUUCCUAAGAAUUUUUUGCUUCUUCUCAAACCCGAGGUCCAUGGACUCAACCCGGCUUACCAAUUAGCAUAAAAUACCACAAAAUUUCCUAAGACUUGCAUAUGGCUGUCAUCCUACCUGAAUCAGGCAGACAUCCUCUGAGCUCAGAGUCAGCUCACAAGUGGGAAUAUGGGGUGACAGUAGCUGAGCAGGGUGGUUGCCUGGCUUUCCCAAGAGCAGAUCCUGAUCCUCUUAGGGUGACUUGGCUGAUAUAAUUCUUCACAGAAUUUGCUUUAGGAACCUGUGUCAGAGUGUUCUCUAGACAUAAAACAGUAAAGUCUCCAAGACAUAGGCCUCUGACUCGGAGCUGUCAUACCAUACAAGGCACCUUAUCCACCUAAGAAUAUGGGCACAUCCAUCAUCACUACCACUGUGGGGUCAGCAGGGGUUGUCUCCCAGAAGAGAACAGAAUAGAGGGGUCUCAUGGAGAUGAUUAAAGCCUACACAGGGUGACAGAAUCCUCUUUAUGCAGGAGAAAUGAGGUCUUGGGAGGAGCUCCUGUGCCACAUCUACUCUAUGAAAGAUGCAUCCAAGGACUGGAGAUGCUGUCUACUGAAGCAGUCCCUCCUUCUGAUUCCUGUCUGAGGCCAGCAAAAUUCCUUUUAUUCCUUCCGUCUUGGUUUACCUCCUCCUCUCCUACAUCCUGCUCCAUUUAGCCCAUUUAUCUUCAGCUGGCUCUUGAUAACUAUGACUUGAGUUAGCUCUUGAUCGCAGGGCUCUAGAGAUGAUGGACAAUGAAGUACAACUACCUUUUGGUAUUUAUUUACCUACUCCUGAACCCUGACUUACACAGGGAAUUGUGAGGAAGCAGACAGGCCUCCAAGGCCAUCUUAUCUCACAAUCUGAUCCCUAGCAGAAUGAGCCACCCCUCACUUCAGACUGACUGACUUUUUUUUUUUUAACCUUUAUUAAUGGUGUCUUGGGUUGUAAGAAGUUUUUUUAUUUUGAUGUCAUCAAAAUGUGUUAUUCCUCUCCUUUAUGGCUUGUUAUUUUAUGGCUUUUAAAGAAGGCUUCCCUAUCUAUAAAUAAUAAUCAUAUUUCUAUUUUCUUGUGUUUCUUUUAGGGUUGUAUUUGUGUUGGUUCUUUAACCCAUCUUGAAUUUAUUUCAUAAUAAAUGGUGUGGAUUAGGAAUCUAAUUUUUUUCCCCAGACAGUUGCAUGCUGCCCGGCAUUAUUUAUUCUGUAGACCAUCCUCUUCCCCAGUGUCUUGAAACACUACCCUUCUCAUAUUCAAAAUUCUCAUAAAGGCAGGCGCUGUGGCACACACCUGUAAUUCCAGCAGCUCAGGUGAUUAAGGCAAGAGGUUCUGAAGUUCAAAGACAGCCUCAGCUAUUUAGUGAGACCUUAAGCAACUCAGCAAGUCUCUGUCUCUAAAUAAAAUAUAAAAAAGGGGCUGGGAUGUGGCUCAGUGUUUAAGUAUCCCUGAGUUCAAUCCCCCGUACCAAAAAAGAAAAACAAACAAACACUAAAACCAAACACCUCUCAUAUAUUCAGUACUGUUUCUUGAUUCUGUUUUUUUUUUAACUUUUUUUUAUAUUCUUGAACCCAUAUCACACCAUUUUCAUUGUUGUAGCUUUUGGAUGCUAUUUCAUACAAAGCUUCAUUGUUUCCACCCCCUACAAAUCAUUUUUCUGUCCUUCCAUAUUUUUUCAUUCCAGAUCCACUUUCUAAUCAGCUUAUCAAAUUUCAUUUAGCAUGUCUUAUUGGAAUUUUGGUUGGGAUUUUAUUGAUUAUAUUGAUAUUGAGACUUUUCAUCCAGAAACAGAAUGUCUCAGCUGUAUUCUUAAAGGCACCCUCAGGGGAGACAUUCUCUAUUCUCCUGACUCUGGAGUCCCUCAGGAGUGGGCUGGUGCCCUGAACCACCAGAUCCUUGUAUUUCUCUGUCCUAUAAUCAGAGCUUACUCAUUCCCUCAUCCUACCUAGAGAUAGAUUAAACAGUUGGGCAUUUGCUUUUGCUUAGGAAUUCUGAGCUUUAUCUUUCCAAGACCCAAAAGAACUCCAGAGAGAUUGUUCUGUCUCUCUUCUCCCCUGCUCUUACAGCUCAGUCUCAAUCUCCCUUCUCAUCUUGCUCCUUUAGAAAUUCUAAUAUUUCAGAUCUGGAAUAGGUCAAUCUAGCAUUUCCUUCAAUCUAGACUUCCCUGAGAAUCUGGUUGACCUCAACAUAACCCUUCAUUCAGAUCUUCUCUCUUCAUAUUAUUCUGUAUCAUUUCUGAGCUCUAUAUGAGCUGAUAUCUUGGAAAAAGAAGAGUGCUCACCAAGUAUUUUGGGGGAAUAGCAGUGUUGGUGAUUCUAUGCCAACUGCCAAUAAGCAAAAAGAACUCAUGACCCCAGAUUUGUCAAUCCUAGCCUAUGACUCUGCUUACCAGCCUGAACUCCACAAAGCAUCUAGGAAUUCCUAGCCUUUUUUUUUUUCCUGUUCAGUAUUGGGGACAGAACCCAGUGUCUUACGCAUGCUAAGCAAGUGUUCUACCACUGAGCUACAUCUGCAGCCCCUAGCUAUUAUUGAUCCCCAACUUUGCUAGGUACACCGAUGUCAGAGAUAGGCUUUUACAUCAGACUGAAUGACAAAGGCCUAGGGGUGAAGCAAGAAGAACCUAGCCCAUCUGCUCAAAUCUCUUUCUGGACUAGCAGCAUCCAUUGUUUUCAUUGCCAGUAUGAAAGUCAAAAGAGCCAGAACUAAAGUUGCAUAGGCUCUCAGACCAGGUGUGGCAGCCAGGUAGUAGGAAAAAGGAGCCCAACAUAGAGUUGAGGUCCCUCAGAAAAGCUGAAUGUGUUCAGGCCACGUACAGUAGCAAUGCAAAGACAUAGGCAGUUUGCCCAAAGCCUUUUGGUUACAUACCUUGGCACUCAGGCCACAGAGUCCUGACAUCCAUACAUGUUUUGCCCAGCUUUUUUUUGCAUUUAUUUACCUCUCCCUGCACCACUAAAUAUUCCACCUGGCCUUAAUAGAUCUUCUUCACCUAAUACUUAUCCAGGGGAUAAUAUUUCAUGGAAGGACUAUGGAAUUUAUGAGAGUAAAUGGUAAGUUACUCUAACUUAAGACUAUUACAGAAAUGAUUCCUAGACAUUUGGAUUUCAAAGGACAGAAUGAACUACUCAGCAAAGUGAACCAAUUUCAGGGACAAGGAAUCUGCUACAGUGGCUGAAAAUUCUAGUAAUACAAACAGAGCUACAUCAUUUGAUUCUUUGAGAUCUCCCUUCCAAAGAAAACAUGGUGCAAAAAUUAUUCUCCCCAGCCAGUCCCCACCCCACCCUCAAGUCGCUCAAGACCCAGCCAGCCACCCAGUCUUACAUGUCUAAAUCUGAAAUUAAAGUCCCAGGCAGGGAGAGGGAUUGUCACAAGUAAUUGCAACAUCCCACAAGAAUUUGGGAGUUAAAGGGAGCCAAACCUGGGCCUUUUCCAAAGCUUGCACGUCUGAGCUUUUUGAGAACCACAUUUGAUCCUUCCAAAAUAUUAGAUGUAAAUGUUUUGUCUUGUGCCUGCUUGACAGUUCUAGAGGACUCUGCAUGGCUCCUGCUAACCCAUCAUAGUGACAGGUGCAUGUUUCCCUGGGAGAGGACAGAGUGAGAAACUGCCUGCCUUACACCACAGUUGGGCUUCAUCCUGAGCCAUGCUUUGGACACUGCUCAGAAGAGGAUGGGGCUCUGAGAGGGGACGGGUCCCACAUGGCUGCAGAGAUGGACCUGGAUAAAAGAAGGGGCACAGGCAUCCUGCCUCAGCUUUAUGUCCUUCUUCAGCAAUUUAUACACUCAUUUACUCUACCCUUACCCAGCCCUUACCUCAUUUUAUUUCUACAGGUCAUUUUCAUAGACACUAUUUUGAGAUGAUGUUCUUCCUUUUUAUAUAUAGAAAAAAAAGCCAUCUUAAAACCAACUGCAGUGGCAAUGCCUGUAAGCCCAAUGACUCAGAAGGCUGAAGCAGGAGGACCCCAAGUUCAAGGCCUGCCUGGGCAACUUAGACCCUAUCUCACUAAUAAAAAUAAAAAAGUAAAGGGCUGGUGAUAUAGCUCAGUGUAGAACACUUGCCUAGCCUAUGCAAGACCCUGGGUGCAAUCCCUAGUAGCAAGGAAAAACUAAACCAUCUUUAAAAAUAAACAAAAACACAGUAGCUAUUCUGAGUAUGUCUCAAGAUAGCUGAGCAUGAUAAGGGGUAUAUAUCAUAAUUGUUGGUAGUUAUGAGCUACAUUCUAUCAUCAUCAUCAAAAUCAUAGAAUAUCAACCAUUUAUUGAGCUCUUACUUUGUAUAAGGAAGUGGGAAGCAUUUUACAGUUUUUGUAAAUCUUCCCAGUCCCCUUUCAAAACCAAUAUUCCUAUCUCUUCAUCUCACAGAGAAGGGACCAAGCCUGGCGAAGUUAAGUAGCCUGCACCAGGUCUUGAGUUGGUCAGAGGGUCUAGGACAUUGCCAUGGCUUUUUUUUCUUCCUGAAAGAGCCGAAAGCAAGGCACCUUCUGCCAGCUCCAAGAGUCCAAAACUACCAGGCACAGUUGGAAGGAGCAUUCACACCAGGUCUUUUCUGUGGCUCUCAGGCCUCCCCCAGCCAACCCAGCACCAUCAGGGAGUGAUUCCUCAGGGAUGAGGUCGGAGGCCAGGUUCUUAGACAACCCUAAUGCUGUCACAGACAUGUAGUACCUCCGGGGCAUCUAAUCCCCGUUUCUCUCCUCCAAUUCUGCAGGGCUUCAGGAGCAAGGCUUUCUCUGAGAGGCAGGAUUAUUCGUUUUCAACAUCAUUCUGACCCUAGCUUCAAAGAACUUGAAGAAAGCUAGAGAAGACCACAGUAGAUUUUCUCCUUGGAUAACAAGAGUCUGAUUAACCCUCAGCCCAAUUUCUUUUCAGUUCAACCUAAUGAAUCUCUGUUGCCUUUUCAGAUUUACAUGACAGGUUUAUUUCAUUAUCCAGAGGUAAGUCAAAGUACAUCUUGUCCUCAAAGUCAAUUAAUAUUUACUGAGCCACCACUGCCAGGCAUGGUUGAAAGGGGUGUUCACAUUCCCUUUCCUGUGAGUCUCAGGCCUUCCCCCAGAUGACCCAGAAUCAUCAGGAUAUGAUGCUUUAAGGAUGGAGUUGAAGUGGAGAUGAGUGACACCAAACCUGAUCCAUGUUCUCUGUAUCGGCUUAGGGAACAGUAUUCAACCCCUUGUGCCUGUCUUGGGCUGGGAGCCAGAGCCAGCCAAGGAAUCUGGCUGUUGGGCUCUUAGCUCCUUUAAGGAACAGAUCAGGUCCUGAGAACCUAGCUUGCUUGACCACAGUGUCUGACACAAAGUAGAAACUUAUAAACUGAUGGCUAUGUUUACAACUUUUAAAAAGGAGUGGCAGAGAAAGGUGGCUGAGAGAUCAAGUUUCCCUCUGGGGCCUGUUCUGAGAGAGAGGGGGAUAAUGGAAGCAGAUGCUACAGGUGUCACAAGCCUUUAGGAGCACCCACAUAAACAGCAUAUAUGAAAAAAUGAGACAAGUGUCUCCCUACGUUCACCUAGGCCCCUUAUGGAAGAGGAAGAAGGGAGUGGCUGACUCUGGAGGAAUUCAACCAAAGCAAGUGUAAAUGGAUUCUCAUUUGGCUGUAGUUUGACUGAUAAGGAAAGAAAACCUGACCUGGGCAAGGAGCAUGGGCCUGUGUGGUCCCCUCCUAGGCCAGAGCGCUUUCCCUCCUUCCCUCGCACCUGUUCCUACACACACACAUCCCGGAAGGCCACCCCACUCCUACCCAGAAGACUAUUGACUCUGCCUCCUUUUCCUGGAGGUGUUUCCUAGGGCUUCAGCCUGAGAACCCACUCUGAGUUUGUUCCAUCUGUACAAUACCAGAGGCUGUGUGGGAAGGGAUCUCCCCAAUUACCUUAAAUGACUUUGAUAGGGAAAAUGGAAUGAGGAAUGGGGCAGAAACUGACAGCCAGCCAGCUCCUGCCAGCCCUGGUGGACCUGAGAUUCAGAGGCCCUGCGCCCCCUACUGGUCCCUCUUUUGUCUUCCUCUCCCGGAGGCUUCCGGAGCCUGCCUUCUCACCCCAGAGACCUGCUUCACUCUUUUUAAUCCUUUGCCUUUGGAACUAGCCUGGAGCUGCUCCCUCCUCAAACCAUGACCUAGGCUUCCUCCUUCCUGACAAAAACCUAACCCAGUCCUUUGAAGAAGCUGGGGACACCUGCACUGGCAUUGCUUAGGUAUCAGUGCCACCUGAGGAAAACUUGACCUGGGCAAGGAGCAUGGGCCUGUGUGGUCCCCUCCUAGGCCAGAAGCCCUUUCCCUCCUUCCCUGGCACCUGUUCCUGCACACACAGCCUCACUUCCUUUCCCCACCUCAGCCUGCACUCAGAUCUGCCAGGUCUGUGCUGCUGCUGCCUUCCAGAGCAGCUUCCAACCUCCAGUUCUUCCUCUUCCCCUCUCUCCCACUGAAGAAACAUACCCUUACAGGGCCCCUGGGGUCCACCAGCCUUGCCCUCCCACACCAGCCUCCACUGCACUCCAGACUUGGCCAAGAAUACUCUCCUUUUCUCUUUCCAAAUCUUGUCCACUUAGCAAGUUCUGAUAGCUCCAGUGUUUACAACCCAUCCCAUCCCAUCCCCAGUGUGCCCUCCCCUGAGGCUCCUGCUGCCAGGCCACUAGCUGUGCCCAUCAUCUCCUGAGUGUGUUUUUCUUCUGAGAUUGAAACACCCAGAGGUCAAGAUCUUUACCUUCCAUAAGGCCCGGGGCAGUGCCAGACUCCUCGUGAGCACUAAAGGGACCAUUUUGAAUGCUGUUCUUCUCCCAAAGAAACCUCCUGGCACCACCUCAGAGCUCUCCCAGGCGUGGCAGGCCUGGGGUGAGGCUGGGUGGGCCAAGGCUGCUAUUGUCAGGUCACUGCGGAAGGAAUGGAGAUAUGGGCAUAUUUUCCAGAAAGGGUGAGAACGGGAACGAGGCUUCUAUUUCCAGGGAGACUUGGUGAGGGGAGGGAGGACCACUCAGAUAUGAGAUCCCCGUGUCAAUCACCACGCUAGUGGAGAAGCUCGCAAGGAUUUGGAGGAUAUGAUGCAGAGGAAACCUCAGAUCUCACAGUCGCUUUGUUUCAUCCACUCCCCCCAUUCCUUCCUAAGCCCGCUUUCCUCUCGGGUUCCCAGCCCCAGGCAGAUUCUUGCGUGACCUCGGGCGGCGCCCAGUGCUGCUGUGGACAGCUCAUUCCGCCGCGGCGGUGUUGCCCAGCUUGUCCCAGCGCCGCCAGGGGGCGAAUGGGGUGUCUGCCGGCUCCUCGGGUGCUGGGCGCGCCCGCACUGCGCUCGAGAGAGGCCGGGCAGAGGGGGACGCUUCCCCGCGCCGCCGCAGCCCCGCCCUCAGGCCAGCUCCGUGGCUCUGCGCGCCCAGGCCUGGGACAGAGAUAUAGCGGUGCCGCGCCCGUACAGGUGGCUGGGCUGCCCGCGAGCCCAGCAGCGCGCAUAGGAUGCUGCCCCCAAGGACUCACCAUUCUCCCUUCCCGCCCCACUGGUCCUCUCGGCCUCUCCGGCUCUGCUCUGGCAGCCGCCCGGCUUUCGGGCAGAUGGUUAAGUAGGCCGCACCCAGGGCGCAGAGAACCGAGGACGCUGGAAUUUAAGGAGGAGCGAAGAAGGAUCAGCCCUGUUUCCCGCUUUUUCCCCAGGCACCUCUGAAGAGGGUGCGCGGCUGCUCUCCAAGUCCUCGGGCUCCGAGCUGGGCCGGGUACGGGGCCUCCGGACAGCACGCGCACACCACACGCUGGGCACCUGUUAGAUCGGGGGCCCUACCUGCUGGGGCCUCAGCUUGGCCUCCUGAUACAGGCACCUGGGCGGCAGUCGUAGGCUAAAGUGACCACAUCUGGCUUCAGGUUGUAAAGGAAAUCAAAAUGAGAAAGAGAGAAAGAAAGUAAGUUUAUUGCAUGUGUGAGCCCCUCUCUGGGUCAGCUCUCCAGAGGACUCUAUUUGGGUAAGCCUCUCAGGCCUGCCAAACACCUGCAUGGCUCAGGACAGAGACCUGCUUCCCAGCCUUAGCAUUGCUGGGGAUCAUUCCACUUGAUAAUAUGCUGUUUCCAUAGAGAAAUACUCUAUUAUUUGAAUCCCAAGUCAACCUUUAUGAAAACUGCCAAAGUGGCUGAUAAACUUUUUUGUGUUUUAAAAAAACAUAAAGAAGUUCUCUGUGUGUCCACACACUAUCCUGUAUCCAUUUUAGGUACUUCUAUCUUUGAAGAAAUGCUUCUCUACCAAAAAUUUAAAAUUUUUUAAAAAUCAGUUUAUGUGUAGUUUAAAAGAGAGUCCUUGAAACAACACCUCUCUGCUUGCCUGCUAGUCAGUCACUAACAUUUAAUUUUGUUUUGGUUUAGUUAAAUUGGGGGGUUUUGCAACCCCUCGAGCUAAAGAUUAAAUUAAUUCUCAAGUGGCAUACAAGCUGUGGUUUCAAAUCCUAACAUUUAGCACAGGGUUGCCUCUCUGUCCAUCCUGGUUCUGAUUCAUAGCUGGCCAGAUAGACACUCAAAUCCUUGCUGGAGUGGGUCCUGGAUGAGUGCACUCCACUGCCCACCGGGAUGUCCACAAGACAGGACCUAAGUGGCUUUCAUGCUCUGAGAUGCCAUUCUGGAUUGGAAACUCCAGACCUCAAAUCUAUUUAGAACUGGGCCCUGAGCUCCAGGAGAUCCUACCUCCUCAGUUCUUCCAGAUGUGGAUGAUGAGCCCCAUAAUUGAUCCCAUGGUCAGAGACGUUGGGGAACUCCAACCCUGAGAAGAGCAUCACCUCCCAGGACACAGUGCUAUUGCUCUGCUGCUAGUGCAGGGGAUCUAUUCCAAGCACAGCACAAGUUCCUACACUGUUCUCAUUGUCCUUCAGUUCCCCAGAUGUGUCUGAGACUUCCUGUCUGUGCAAAGGCAAGGGAUAACCUGAAGGUCAGAGCCCCAUCUGACCUCAAGACUCUCAGGUCUAAAGAGUGGCACUUGUGGGAGCUCUGUACUCAAUCUCCACCCUCAGGAGGCUUCAGUGAUGUGAAUGAUACAGUCCUUGAGACCAUGUCCUCUGGUCCUGCCCUAGAUUUCUACCCCCACACAGCAGCCUACCUGGAAGAGCACCUGCAGUUCCACCCAACUGAGGCCUCACCUUUUUGAGUCAGCACUGCCUUCUGCCUUCUCAGCUCCUCUGGGAACCCCUUUGUUCCCAGGACUACCUAGAGGAGAAGCCAUGUCCUCACUGCCUGAAAGGAGAGAACUCCAAGGUGGCCUGCCUAGAAGUCCCAGGGUCCCUCAACGGGCACACAAAUAUGGUUAUCCAGCUGCAGCUAUAGGCAAUAAGGCAGCCUACAAGCUCCAACAGCAUCUUUCUUCCUUUUCUCUUUACAGAUAUGGACAAGGUCUCCCAGCCUCCCAGCCCACCCUUCCAGAACUGGAGAGAGCAGAGUGUCCUCAGGAAAGUUCUUCUGCUUCUGCCUCCUCACAUCCCAGGGCUGUUUAACUUCAGCGUCUCAAAAACAAGAUUCAUGGGCUGGAGUGGUGGCUCAAUGGUAGAGCGCUUGCCUAGCAUGUGUGAGGCACUGGGUUUGAUCCUCAGCAACACAUAAAAAAAUAAAUAAAUAAAAUAAAGAUA